AUUGAACGCUGGCGGCAUGCCUUACACAUGCAAGUCGAACGGUAACAGGUCUUCGGAUGCUGACGAGUGGCGGACGGGUGAGUAAUACAUCGGAACGUGCCCAGACGUGGGGGAUAACGAGGCGAAAGCUUUGCUAAUACCGCAUACGAUCUAAGGAUGAAAGCAGGGGACCGCAAGGCCUUGCGCGUUUGGAGCGGCCGAUGGCAGAUUAGGUAGUUGGUGGGAUAAAAGCUUACCAAGCCGACGAUCUGUAGCUGGUCUGAGAGGACGACCAGCCACACUGGGACUGAGACACGGCCCAGACUCCUACGGGAGGCAGCAGUGGGGAAUUUUGGACAAUGGGCGAAAGCCUGAUCCAGCAAUGCCGCGUGCAGGAUGAAGGCCUUCGGGUUGUAAACUGCUUUUGUACGGAACGAAAAGGCUCUGGCUAAUACCUGGGGCACAUGACGGUACCGUAAGAAUAAGCACCGGCUAACUACGUG
This 482-nucleotide ribosomal RNA is filed under the name uncultured bacterium. Its description in RNAcentral is "partial 16S ribosomal RNA". It matches the Rfam family "Bacterial small subunit ribosomal RNA", at positions 30 to 507 of the family's 1533-position model. The record is from RNAcentral.